UUUCCUCCAUUUUGAGGAGUAAAAUGAAGUUCAUCUCUAUUCACCAUAAUACAGGACUCCUCAAGCUUUGCCUUGUCAACUUGUUGAAUGAUUUGCAUUUCUGAGUAACAACAAUAACAUAAUAAAGAAAAAAUCACCAUAAGAUAUCCAACAAGCAAAAUAUACAAGCGGUAGGAAUAAGCCCUAAAAGAUAGUUUGACAAUCACAUCGAAUAUGAGAAGCAGUUAUUAUUAGGUAAACCCAAGAAAUGUGUCCAUAAUCCUGACCUCUUAGAAUUGCAUGAGUUUAGUGAAUAUCAAUUUCAAAGAUCACCAAAAUGAAUAAUAAUAGCUUAAAAUUUUUCUUUCGUCUUUCUUUUUUUCAGUUUCUUUUGGCAUUUAAUGAUUAAGAAAGUAAAAUUGAAUAAAUCAUUGUACAUAACUACUACCAUUAAAUAGAAAUUUGUGGCUUAACUAGGACAUAUCACAUAUCAUGAAAGGACCAUCAGCAUUUCAAAGACGACAAAAUAAUAAAAAAUUAAAAAUUAAAAAAGCUUUCAGCCAUAGCCAGAAGUAGGGGCAGAGAUGGCCCAGGCAAGAUUGGCCAUGUUGGUUUGGGUUGGAUUGAGCACCGAUAUAGUCUGCGCUGUACUCUUCAAAUUGAGCAUCUAUAGGAAAUUUGGAUUACCCACCACGAGGCAAAUGUUAAUCCUCAUUUGGCAAAUGUUAAUCCUCAUUUGGUUCAAAAUGACACUUCUACUCCCAGGGAAGUGCACUUUCAGGAAACUUACUUCCUAGAAGUAUGAUAUAACUUGUUUGGUUGGGAGUAAGUAGACUAAAAAAGUAAAACUUCUUGGGAAGUGCAGAAAAGAGACUUGUUUGGUUUGUAUUAUCAACCCAACUUCCCGAUAAAUAAGAGCAUUCUACUUCUUUUGCGCAAGGGAAGUAAUUUACCUAGGUGAGACUUGGUAAGUUGCACUUUCCUAGUU
This 967-nucleotide unclassified non-coding RNA is filed under the name Hevea brasiliensis (rubber tree). Lineage: Eukaryota; Viridiplantae; Streptophyta; Magnoliopsida; Malpighiales; Euphorbiaceae. The record is from RNAcentral.